AUGCAUCUUACUCAAAGCAUUAAAUUAGAUGCAGAAUCAACUGCACGCAAGAGCACCCUGGAGAGACUCUGACGGCGCAGGUCACCCCAAUACCUGUGGCUGCCACUCAUCUUUCCUGUAAGA
This 123-nucleotide small nucleolar RNA is filed under the name Chinchilla lanigera (long-tailed chinchilla). Its description in RNAcentral is "Small nucleolar RNA SNORA44 (ENSCLAG00000021438.1)". It matches the Rfam family "Small nucleolar RNA SNORA44". Rfam says of the family: ACA44 is a member of the H/ACA class of snoRNA that guide the sites of modification of uridines to pseudouridines. Lineage: Eukaryota; Metazoa; Chordata; Mammalia; Rodentia; Chinchillidae. The record is from Rfam by way of RNAcentral.